AUGUGGCAGCGAGAAAGACGACACCACCUCUCUGAGUAUGAGCUGCUCUUGGAGCCAUUAGCCGGAUCAUCGGUCUUCCCUGCUGCUUCAACCUGGUGGAUUAGGCGAACGACGAGCCCGUUCCUUCAGCUCAGCCCGAACUACAUCGUUACCAUCGAAAUCCCCUCCGAAGGAAGGGUUUUGCUCUAACAACGUCGACAGAUCCAGAAGAAACUGCGAUGUCGAGUCGAUUGCACAACUCAAGCAACCAAUUUUACAGGGCUCAGAAAUGGCGUGCAGUGGCCCUUGCAUCACUAACCCUAAUUGCUGUCACCUGCAUUCUGAUCAACAGAGAAAAACCAAACCCUUCAUCUGAUCUUUUGAAGCACAAAAAUGCCGGCUUUCAGUCUUCUGUCCGAUUCAGGCCAUCUUUGGAGCUCAUGAAUGGCACCGAUGUCAUUUGGCAAAUCCCCGAUUCGCCCAAGGCCGCUCUUUUCAUUGCUCAUGGUUGCGGUGUCCGAGCUUCCAACUUCUGGGACAAGUACCCAGGCUGCCCAAACUGCACUGGGUUGCCCGAAGAGAGGAUCUUUGUGCUUCGUGCUCUGGAACGAAAAUUUGCUGUCCUAACCAUAUCUAGUUUGGGUAGAUGCUGGUCGUUUGAGGAAACGGAAGCCAUCAAGUGGAUCAUCAAAUGGUGGAUCGAAAAGAAUAAGCUUGGGAAGCUUCCCAUCAUGGCCAUGGGGGCUUCAUCUGGUGGGUAUUUUGUUUCUGCGCUUGCUGCUGAGAUGAGAUUCAGAAGCCUCUCAAUUAUGAUUGCAGAAGGAGUAUUUGCAUCUGCUGGUGUGCCAAAGGACUACCCACCCACACUUUUUGUUCACAUGCCUAAGGACCGUAAUACAAUGAAAAAGAUACAAAAGAACAUGAAAACUUUGAGACAGAAUGGCGUUCUUGUCAAGGAGAUUAGGUGUAUGCAGUUUCCUUUGUCUCCAGACUUGUUCUCCAACAGGAUUCCAGGGAUAAACCAGACAUUGUCUGUCAAAAUGUAUCAUCUUUUUUCUGAGAAAGGAUUUAUUGAUGAAAAUGGGUUUAUGAAUACUGACGGGCGACAAACUCAGUGGAAGGAAGCUCUUAUUCAAAGGAACAUUAUCCCAGAAAACUAUGAAUUGCUUAAUCACAUUGGGGAGGAAUUGAACCUUGCAUUUGCUUUGCAUGAAAUGACCAGUUUUGAGACAGAUGGUAUUCUUGACUGGUUUGAGUCUAAUAUGAGCUGAUCAAUGAAUCUUGUGGCUCAAUGAAUCUUGUGGCUGAUCAAUGAAUCUUGUGGCUCAUUCUUUUAUGAGCUGAUCAAUGAUAUAUGAGCUCUUAUUUACAGACAGAAAACUAUAAUAUGAGCUGAUCAAUGAAUCUUGUGGCUCAUUCUUUUUAAAGAAACGUUCAAAAUAGUUAGGCUCUAUCGGGACUUGUUAUAUAUUGCUCUGAAGAUUAUCUCAAGAGGCUCUCAUGAAGCCAACAGCGAAAACUGUAACAAGGGAGAUCAUUUCCAAAAGCAAAAUACAUACAUUGGCAGAAGAUUGAAACUCCUUCAAACCAAACUGUUCUGAGAACAGUUGUUGUUGACCAUAUUAGGAAAUGGGUGUUUUGCUCGAAUCCUCAUCGCCGACGUCCUCCUCAUCAUCCGUUGAAUUAUUUUGUCUGACUUUUUACAAAUGUUCGUGUGCCGAGCUUGGUGAAUCUGCUUGGUGGUGCCUUUUGGCGUAAGUUGAUUCAAUUCUCAUGCAUGAUUUGCUUUGUUAGAUCGAUACAUAUCGUCCUCGUGUUCUAUGCUCUUUCCUUAUCUGAGUAAUAUUGUUGAUUCUUCUCACAAUAAAUGAAGAUUUUGUGUUUAUCCCAUCAUAGAUUCAUAGCUUUCUCAACCUGCAUAGCUUUUCUUGGCUUAAAUGGUUGAUUAUAUCAAUUAUAACGUGUGCUCUAGUAGGAAAACUUAGCGCGGGUGAUGAGGUCUUCUUCUGAUGCUUCCCAAAGGCCCAUUGGUCUUAGACUUUUGGGCUUUGGGCUCAAUGAGUAUAUUGGGAUGACAGCCUUUACUUUUAUCUGGUCACCAAUAAUUGUGAUCCAUCAUUCAAAGGAUUUCAAUGAUUAAUAAGCCAUGGGUAGACAAAUUGUUUUUUGGAUUUUUUUAAUAUUUUAUUUUCAUUAAUUCCUAGUCAGUGUCCCUUAUUCAUUUAUUUUUGUAGAGCAUUUUUUUUAUUUAAAGAUGACAUUGCUCAUGGCCUUCGCCA
Molecule: RNA transcript, 2258 nt
Organism: Musa acuminata AAA Group (dessert banana)
Lineage: Eukaryota; Viridiplantae; Streptophyta; Magnoliopsida; Zingiberales; Musaceae
Exons: 3
Source: RefSeq, a predicted model, not a curated record